CUUUUUACAUAAGCAAAUUAUAGUUACCGGGUGACAAACCACUCGAGUAAGUCACGAGUCAUUUUCUAAGCCAAUUCUCUUUUUUCAAGUCUUUAUCUUAGUCUAUUAUCAAGUCAAUCAGAGUAUCACAGGUCUGUCAUCCAGUCUAACAGAAUCCUGACCUUAUCAACACGUCCCAUUUCCUCUCUGUGUCAACGAUCAACCAUCUCAGUCUAGCAGAAACUAAACAAUCUUAACAGUCUUCAAAAUGUCUCAAAGACUAAUCAAAAGUUACCAAGAGUACCUUCAAACAAAACACAUCCAAGCAAACUCAGUCCCUUCACCUCCACUACAGUACGUAUCGGUGACUCUACAUUUUGUAUCUCACAAAAGUAAUAAAAAUCUUUGGAUAAUUGGUUCUAGUACUUAUAAUCAUAUUACUGGUAACCAUUCCUAGUUUACUUUUCCUGGUAACAGUGAGGCAGCUGUUAUAGUCUGCUAAAUAUACGUUGGGCAUUCUUCAUUGCCUACUUGAAGUACGGAACCCAUAUUUACAAUCUUUACUUCUCUAUUAUUGUUAGGGUUGGGUUGCCAGGUUAACACCCCCCGUUGCCUCUGUACCUGAGACAGAUACGUUGUGCUACACAGUGCCUAACCUUGUCUCCCCUACUCCUCUUAUGGUUGUGCCAUAUUAGCACUUAGUCCGUUUGCUCAAAUGAACAAACAGCAAAACAUCCUUGUGAAACAUCCUAGAAGUCGGUAUUUAUUUAUAACAAGCUUGGUGCAUAAAAGUAAACGCUUGUAUUAUAUGCUCCAAUCUGAAGAAUGGUGGUGGGCAAAACAUCCUAGUUGGUAUUUAUUUAUAACAAGCUUGGCGCAUAAAAGUAAACGCUUGUAUUAUAUGCUCCAAUCCAAAGAAUGGUGGUGGAAAGCAUAUUGGUAAUUCAUGUGGCAGUGCUAGGAAGAAGACUCAACAUAGCCUAACAAAUGGUAAUAUAAGUUAAUAUAGCAUUAGAAAUAGGAAGAAUACGAUACAGGUAGUGCAGGAGCGGAUCCACCCCUGAGGAUGGGGAUUGUAUGGCACCCGAACAUU
This 1072-nucleotide long non-coding RNA is filed under the name Nicotiana benthamiana. RNAcentral's name for it is "long non-coding RNA (NBEN_LNC006134)". Lineage: Eukaryota; Viridiplantae; Streptophyta; Magnoliopsida; Solanales; Solanaceae. The record is from RNAcentral.